GCGGGGAUAAUCAAGUCUGGUCCACGAUGCUGGACUCAGAAUCCAGUGCGUAGAGCCGCGAGAGUUCAAAUCCCUCUCCCCGCA
RNAcentral lists this transfer RNA (84 nucleotides) under Promethearchaeum syntrophicum. RNAcentral describes it as "tRNA-Leu (CAG) (tRNA-Leu-CAG-1-1)". It matches the Rfam family "tRNA". Rfam says of the family: Transfer RNA (tRNA) molecules are approximately 80 nucleotides in length. Lineage: Archaea; Promethearchaeati; Promethearchaeota; Promethearchaeia; Promethearchaeales; Promethearchaeaceae. The record is from RNAcentral.